GCCUGGGUGGCUCAGCCGGUUAAGCACCUGACUUCAGCUCAGGUCAUGAUCUCCCAGUUUGUGGGUUUGAGCCCCGCAUUGGGUG
Molecule: transfer RNA, 85 nt
Filed under: Felis catus (domestic cat)
Lineage: Eukaryota; Metazoa; Chordata; Mammalia; Carnivora; Felidae
Rfam family: tRNA
About the family: Transfer RNA (tRNA) molecules are approximately 80 nucleotides in length. Their secondary structure includes four short double-helical elements and three loops (D, anti-codon, and T loops).
Source: Rfam by way of RNAcentral